Molecule: transfer RNA, 69 nt
Filed under: Dicrurus megarhynchus
Lineage: Eukaryota; Metazoa; Chordata; Aves; Passeriformes; Dicruridae
Description: tRNA-Phe
Rfam family: tRNA
About the family: Transfer RNA (tRNA) molecules are approximately 80 nucleotides in length. Their secondary structure includes four short double-helical elements and three loops (D, anti-codon, and T loops).
Source: RNAcentral
GUCCAUAUAGCUUAUAACAAAGCAUGACACUGAAGAUGUCAAGAUGGCUGUCACUAACACCUAUGGACA